GUUUUGACUACUGGGGUAAAGGCACACAAGUGACCGUCACAAGUACUAAACCUAAAAAACCUGUGCUGUUCAGGAUGUCUGGGUGUACUACUUCAGCGACCCAAACGCAUGGCUGUCUGGCCUCUGAAUAUUCCCCUGGCACACCACUCAGUUUCAAAUGGACUGAUCAAAAUGGAACUGCCCUGACUGACUUUGUUGAACACCCUGCAGUAGAAAGGAAUGGAACAUCACUGAAAAUCAGUCACAUCACUGUUACAGGAAAUCAAUUAGGUAAAAACAUUACAUGUAAAGUAGUCAUAGACCAAGCACCAACCCUGAGCCUGGUCCCUGUAAUAACUCAGAAAAGUACAUCUGUCAUGUGUGUUAUUGAGGACUUCCACCCCAAACCCAUCACUGUACAAUUGAAGGAAAAUAAAACCAAUAUUCAGCAGCUAACAACACUGGGUUACACUCAGGAUGAAGAUACAGGUCUUUACACAGCACGGAGUCUUUAUACAGUUAGCAGUGAAACAUGGAACAAACAUACUGAAUACACCUGUGAGGUCACGUACAUGGGCCAAGUGAAACAUGAGACUAAAAACUUCAAAGCUACGUUAGAGCUGACCUUAAAGUCACCAAUACAGACAGACAUAUUCCUCUUCGGUGACGUGAUCUUGCAGGCUGUUGUUUCUGGAAAUGAACAUAAAGCAGUGGAAGAUGCCUCAGUGUCAUGCGACAUGGAAAAUGAAGCUUUAACCUUAAAUAAUGCUGUUCAAAAAGAUUCACAAGACAAGUUUCAGAAAAUCCACAAUGUCACGGUUAUAAGAGAUAAAUGGUUUGCUGGUAAAAUGGUCACCUGUACUAUCAGUGACAAAAACAUAAAGAAGAAGAUCAGUUUUAAUAAAGGAGAGGAACCCAGUGUUGUCAUUUAUGAACAACACAGUAAAAACAAAAAAAGUUCAUAUGUCUCUCUGGUAUGCGAGGUCAGCAGCUCUCAACUUGGUGAUGUUUAUAUUAUGUGGAGAGUAGAUAAUGAAGAAGAAUAUAAAGAGGGUAAAACCAGUGCUCCAAUCAGUCAGCAGUACUCUACAUCUGUCAUCAGCUUAUUUGAAGUGUCUGAAGAAAUAUUUGAAAAAUCCACAAUCUACUGCGCAGUCCUGCAUGCCAACAUGGAGAAUACAAAAGCACCAUUAUUAAUACCAGCAAGCAAAAAUGAGCCUCCAGAACCUGAGACAGGCUUUGCAUUACACUGUAAUGAAUCUGUUUUGGAGGAGGAUGAGUUCAGAAGUCUCUGGUCUACUGCCACCUCAUUCAUCUUCCUCUUCCUCUUUUCUCUGACCUACAGCGCUCUUAUCAGCCUAUCUAAGAUGAAGCGGUGAAAAUAAUUUAAAAAAGAAAAUGAAGACUCAGAGGUUAUUUCUUUCUUUGUGAUCAUUGUGAAUUUGUUUUUUUCUCUUUUGUUUUAUAUUUGUUUGUUUGUUUUGUAUUUUUGGUCAUCAUUAUGCAAGCUCAUUGCUGAAAUUACAUUAUUUGUGUUUUUGAAGAUAUUGACAAUUAUGCACUCAUAAUUAAUAAAUCCACAUGUGAAGGUUGUUUUGUAGAAGUAGAAAUAGCUUUGUUUACUGUAAAAUAUAUGCUAAUUAUUUCAGAUCU
Molecule: non-coding RNA, 1632 nt
Organism: Paramisgurnus dabryanus
Lineage: Eukaryota; Metazoa; Chordata; Actinopteri; Cypriniformes; Cobitidae
Source: the annotation of a RefSeq genome assembly